GGAAAGAGGAGCAGCUGCCUGCUGUUUGAAGGCCAAAUACAUUAAGAUGGGAACCACACAUAAAUGGAAGUCAACAUGUUUGCAACCCAACUGUCAUGGACCAGAAUGAGGUCAUUGUCUUCCAGUCAUCUUGGAGCUAGGUAUAG
This is a long non-coding RNA of Bombina bombina (fire-bellied toad), 146 nucleotides long. RefSeq lists it as uncharacterized. The transcript is spliced from 3 exons. Lineage: Eukaryota; Metazoa; Chordata; Amphibia; Anura; Bombinatoridae. The record is from RefSeq and is a predicted model, not a curated record.